This 132-nucleotide ribosomal RNA is filed under the name Listeria ivanovii. Its description in RNAcentral is "23S rRNA. Bacterial LSU". It matches the Rfam family "Bacterial large subunit ribosomal RNA", at positions 2794 to 2925 of the family's 2925-position model. The record is from RNAcentral. Lineage: Bacteria; Bacillati; Bacillota; Bacilli; Caryophanales; Listeriaceae.
CCCCCUCAAGAUGAGAUUUCCCAUUUCUUCGGAAAGUAAGAUCCCUGAAAGAUGAUCAGGUAGAUAGGUUUGGAGUGGAAGUGUAGCGAUACAUGGAGCGGACAAAUACUAAUCGAUCGAGGACUUAACCAA